Molecule: long non-coding RNA, 279 nt
Organism: Vombatus ursinus (common wombat)
Lineage: Eukaryota; Metazoa; Chordata; Mammalia; Diprotodontia; Vombatidae
Exons: 3
Source: RefSeq, a predicted model, not a curated record
UCUCCUCGGCCGGUUCGGGCCCCGGUGGCCAGCUUGAUGCCCCCGCCCCGGGCAGCUUGCGAAGUCGUGGAAAAAACUGCAAGUUUUAACGUGCUUUGGCCCAAGAGGGAAAAGAAAUCCGUUUUUCCUCCGUGUGUUCCAAAGCACAGGUCAUUGACUACUGUCCUGAGAUGUGGACGUUUCUAGCCUUGGAUUUUACCUUGACAUAUGGAACCCUCUGAAGAGGCAGGAACCUUGAGGUCAAGACACCUGUGUGAUGAAGAAGGAAUAACGAGGGAG